AUGCAUGUGAAAUGGCUUGGAUCUGAUAUUUCCUUUCCUCUAAGUAAGAACACAUCUCUUGAAAAGAUUUGGUGCAGUCUUGCCAAAGAAGGAAGCAGGAAACUCAAGCCAGCCUGGAGUUUUGUGAGCCAUGGAAAACUGGCUAAAUUCACCAUGAAAAUAAUUUGGAAACAUGAAACCCCCUGUCAUGGCGGCCUCCGCAGGCGCGCAAGGGCUUGCUGCGUGCGGUUCCUCCUGCGGCCCCGGGGCUCGCCCGAGCCAGGGUGCUCCCAAGCCUUCCUGAGCCGACCCCUCAGAUUGGACUGA
RNAcentral lists this long non-coding RNA (306 nucleotides) under Mustela putorius furo (domestic ferret). RNAcentral describes it as "lncRNA (ENSMPUG00000030515.1)". Lineage: Eukaryota; Metazoa; Chordata; Mammalia; Carnivora; Mustelidae. The record is from RNAcentral.